UUGCAAGUUGUCCCGCUCUGGACUGAGCGCGUCUGUUUUGCCCCCCCCACCCCCCGCAGCAAUUCCUCCCUCCCUCCCUCUCAUCCUCCCCCCUCUUCGUCGUCUUUUUUCACCUCCCUCCUCUUGCACUUUACUCAGCUACAAUUACAACAGGUGGAGCUGUGCGCAUGCACAGGUUGAUGGUUACGAAAUGUCACGAAAAGCCUACUAGAACAUCUUAAACCUCAUUUGUUGUUAAUCAGAGCUGUUUUAAAUUGUGACAGAUGUGUGCUGACUCCCAAUGUGAUUGUUACCAUUUCCCCACAUAAAUGGGUGUGCACACUUAUGCAACCCCAUUAUCACUCCAUCUAUUUACUACACUGGAGUCUGUUGGUGAAGGUACACCGUAGGACCGGACACUAGCCAAUUGCAGGGCGUCGUUAUUUCAUGACUGAUAAAUAGCAUUCCUCAUUGUCGCGGUAAGGGAGCUGUCCGUGGUGCUGAUCUCUUCGAAUAGUCCAAAUAAUGGCAAAAGCUGAUGUGUCUGCGUGUCUAUCUGAUCCCACUGCUCAACUCUGCUUCUUUUAACUAGUCAAUAAUGCAUCAAGCAGCAUGGCGCCCAGGCUGGCAUCCAUUACCAGGCCAAGGCUAAUAUUACAGUACGUUGGUGACAAGAGGCAGCAGACUUUCAAGUACUGUAUUACAGCCAUCAUGGCUUUCUGAUUGGAGACAACUUCCAAGGAACCAGGGUCAUUUAUUAUUGAGCCGUCAUUGUUUGGGAGCUGUCAUGGUGUGUUUUGACGGCGACGUUGAAGGACCCUCCUCGAUGUAAUAAGGCCGAGGUGGGGCAGAGCAUUCCAGCGUCCCGAGUUGGCUCAGCAUCACAGUGACGGUUGUGCCUGAUCCUGAAUUUCCGAAUAUAUUUUUGGGGUGAGCUAUCCAUGCGGUACACCUUGGAGUGCAAAGAGGCGCUGCAAAAGUGACUUGAAUGGGAGCAUCGGGAGCAUCCAAAUAAAGAAGCAGGUAAGAGAAGAAUAAAUGAAAUGUGGUCUUUAAACGGAGACCAUAAUGUCCACCGCCCCGAAAAUCUUAAAUACAGUCCUGUAUAAAAAUAGCUUUUCACAGUCGAUGCAAAGGUUGCGCAUUACUGACAGUUAAAGUAAGCACACUUAAACUAUCUCCAAGAACCAAACCUUCGUCUUUCUCAGCAGAAGUGAGAUUAUUUUCUCGAGUGGAGGGA
Molecule: long non-coding RNA, 1219 nt
Organism: Syngnathus typhle (broad-nosed pipefish)
Lineage: Eukaryota; Metazoa; Chordata; Actinopteri; Syngnathiformes; Syngnathidae
Exons: 3
Source: RefSeq, a predicted model, not a curated record